Molecule: long non-coding RNA, 256 nt
Filed under: Lathyrus oleraceus (garden pea)
Lineage: Eukaryota; Viridiplantae; Streptophyta; Magnoliopsida; Fabales; Fabaceae
Description: Pisum sativum (pea) long non-coding RNA (PSAT_LNC012159)
Source: RNAcentral
UGUGAUCACCUAUCCUCCUUGACUACUCGGGUGUGUUCUUUCCUCUCUCUUCUCUCUCUUAUUUUAUGUUUGUUUCUUUCAUUGAGGACAUUGCAUAUUUUAAGUGUGGGGGAGAGAAUACUUUAUUUUCUUUGUUUUUGUUCUUUGUUUUGUUUUGUUUUUGUUUUCUUUCAAAAAAAGAAAUGCAUUUUUGUUGAAAGUUUUAGGCUAUAGAAUAAUUUGAGGUUGGUUUGUAGAGACUUGGGAAAAGUUCACA